UCUGUGGCUCAGUCGGUAGAGCGACGCACUCGUAAUGCGUAGGUCAUCGGUUCGAAUCCGAUCA
This 64-nucleotide transfer RNA is filed under the name bovine gut metagenome. It matches the Rfam family "tRNA", at positions 6 to 65 of the family's 71-position model. From Rfam's summary of the family: Transfer RNA (tRNA) molecules are approximately 80 nucleotides in length. Their secondary structure includes four short double-helical elements and three loops (D, anti-codon, and T loops). Further hydrogen bonds mediate the characteristic L-shaped molecular structure. tRNAs have two regions of fundamental functional importance: the anti-codon, which is responsible for specific mRNA codon recognition, and the 3' end, to which the tRNAs corresponding amino acid is attached (by aminoacyl-tRNA synthetases). tRNAs cope with the degeneracy of the genetic code in two manners: having more than one tRNA (with a specific anti-codon) for a particular amino acid; and 'wobble' base-pairing, i.e. permitting non-standard base-pairing at the 3rd anti-codon position. The record is from RNAcentral.